GGUAGAUGAUGUGCAUAUAUUUGCUACUUCGGACAGCACUUGUGUUGGAUGAGACAUAAAAAUAUCACCAAGAUCUCUGAUACC
The sequence is a small nucleolar RNA, 84 nucleotides long. It matches the Rfam family "Small nucleolar RNA SNORD24". Rfam says of the family: U24 is a member of the C/D class of snoRNA which contain the C (UGAUGA) and D (CUGA) box motifs. C/D box snoRNAs have been shown to act as methylation guides for a number of RNA targets. The record is from Rfam.